Molecule: ribosomal RNA, 250 nt
Filed under: uncultured bacterium
Lineage: Bacteria
Description: partial 16S ribosomal RNA
Rfam family: Bacterial small subunit ribosomal RNA
Source: RNAcentral
UGAGGAAUAUUGGUCAAUGGAGGAAACUCUGAACCAGCCAUGCCGCGUGGAGGAUGAAGGUCCUCUGGAUUGUAAACUCCUUUUAUAAAAGAAGAAACCCCAUUUUUCUAAAUGGGUUGACGGUACUUUAUGAAUAAGCACCGGCUAACUCCGUGCCAGCAGCCGCGGUAAUACGGAGGGUGCAAGCGUUAUCCGGAUUCACUGGGUUUAAAGGGAGCGUAGGUGGGUUGGUAAGUCAGUGGUGAAAUCU